RNAcentral lists this ribosomal RNA (301 nucleotides) under uncultured bacterium. RNAcentral describes it as "partial 16S ribosomal RNA". It matches the Rfam family "Bacterial small subunit ribosomal RNA", at positions 509 to 807 of the family's 1533-position model. The record is from RNAcentral.
CAGCCGCCGCGGUAAUACGUAGGUGGCAAGCGUUGUCCGGAAUUAUUGGGCGUAAAGGGCUCGCAGGCGGUAUCUUAAGUCUGAUGUGAAAGCCCCCGGCUCAACCGGGGAGGGUCAUUGGAAACUGGGAAACUUGAGUGCAGAGGAGGAGAGUGGAAUUCCACGUGUAGCGGUGAAAUGCGUAGAGAUGUGGAGGAACACCAGUGGCGAAGGCGACUCUCUGGUCUGUAACCGACGCUGAGGAGCGGAAGCGUGGGGAGCGAACAGGAUUAGAUACCCCUGUAGUCCCUGUCUCUUAUAC